Non-coding RNA from Lupinus albus (white lupine), 306 nucleotides. The record is from the annotation of a GenBank genome assembly. NCBI's taxonomy places the organism in Eukaryota, Viridiplantae, Streptophyta, Magnoliopsida, Fabales, Fabaceae.
UUUGAUUUUGAUUUUGAGCUUCAGUUUUAGAUCUGAUCUGAAUUCUCAUCUCACUGCCUUUUGUACCAUUCAAUCAUCUCAUUCAUUGUUCUAAGGUUUUCAUCCCCUGCGGACACAUAUGCGUGUGCUCUCCUUCACCCACCAAUUGCUAUUUCACACGUGUAUAAUCAAAAUACGUGGAGACCACUAGCUGAUUUAUUAGGGUUAGUGUCAGAGAUAUUAUUACAUACUGAACUCAUUAAAAUUUGUGAUUCAUUGCUCGACGUUAAUCUAUAGUUUGCAUAGGCUAAAUAUUUUGUGCUCGGG